AUAAGGUCUAACCUGCCCACUGAAUUUUGUUUGAAGGGCCGCAGUAUUUUGACUGUGCAAAGGUAGCAUAAUCAUUAGUCUUUUAAUUGAAGGCUGGUAUGAAUGGUUGGACGAGAUACAAGCUGUGUCAUAAAAAUUAAAAUUUGAAUUUAUCUUUUUAGUUAAAAGACUAAAAUAAAAUUAAAAGACGAGAAGACCCUAUAGAGCUUUAUAUAAUUAAUAUUUAAAUUAUUAAGAUUUUUUAAAUUAAAAUAUUAUUUUAUAUUUUGUUGGGGUGACAAUAAAAUUUAUAAAACUUUUAUUUUUAUUAAACAUUAAUUUAUGAUUAGAUGAUCCAGUUUUAUUGAUUAUAAAUUUAAGUUACCUUAGGGAUAACAGCGUAAUUUUUUUUGAGAGUUCUUAUCGACAAAAAAGAUUGCGACCUCGAUGUUGGAUUAAGAGUAAUUUUGGGUGUAGAAGUUCAAAAU
This 467-nucleotide ribosomal RNA is filed under the name Simulium kilibanum. Its description in RNAcentral is "partial 16S ribosomal RNA". It matches the Rfam family "Bacterial large subunit ribosomal RNA", at positions 1845 to 2569 of the family's 2925-position model. RNAcentral also lists the same sequence under 3 other names. Lineage: Eukaryota; Metazoa; Arthropoda; Insecta; Diptera; Simuliidae. The record is from RNAcentral.